Molecule: transfer RNA, 73 nt
Filed under: Strongylocentrotus purpuratus (purple sea urchin)
Lineage: Eukaryota; Metazoa; Echinodermata; Echinoidea; Camarodonta; Strongylocentrotidae
Rfam family: tRNA
About the family: Transfer RNA (tRNA) molecules are approximately 80 nucleotides in length. Their secondary structure includes four short double-helical elements and three loops (D, anti-codon, and T loops). Further hydrogen bonds mediate the characteristic L-shaped molecular structure. tRNAs have two regions of fundamental functional importance: the anti-codon, which is responsible for specific mRNA codon recognition, and the 3' end, to which the tRNAs corresponding amino acid is attached (by aminoacyl-tRNA synthetases). tRNAs cope with the degeneracy of the genetic code in two manners: having more than one tRNA (with a specific anti-codon) for a particular amino acid; and 'wobble' base-pairing, i.e. permitting non-standard base-pairing at the 3rd anti-codon position.
Source: Rfam by way of RNAcentral
GGCAUGGUGGCUCAAUGGUUAGAGCACCCGCCUCAUGAACGGGAGGUCGUGGGUUCGAAUCCCGGUCGAGUCA